This is a long non-coding RNA of Vigna angularis (adzuki bean), 367 nucleotides long. RefSeq lists it as uncharacterized. The transcript is spliced from 3 exons. Lineage: Eukaryota; Viridiplantae; Streptophyta; Magnoliopsida; Fabales; Fabaceae. The record is from RefSeq and is a predicted model, not a curated record.
GUGAUAUUUGUUGUAGGCUCUUUUCGUAUUUCUGUCUCUGCCUUUACUUUCAAAAUUGAAAGGCAUACCAUUUGCUGAACUUCCUUCAUAUUUUAAAAGCGGUGCCGGUUGUUUUCUAGGUAAACCAGGUUGUGAUGGCGCUCCCCUACUUCCACUGCUUUACAUAAUUACCAAUUUGGCAUUCAACAUAUCCCUCCUUAAUGCAGUAAAAACUUCUUCUGCAGUUGUAUCUUCUCUUCUAGUAAUGUUGUCAGUGCCCAUAUCUGUUUAUAUUCUUUCUCUACCAUUACCAUAUCUUCCCGAGGGAACAAGCUUGAGCCCAUUUUUUUUGCUUGGCUGUGGAAUUCUGAUCACUUGUUCUGGUAUA